CAUUCAGUAGCCCAGCUACUUGUUUACACCCUUGUCUUUUUGCGUACUUAUCGUUUCCUCGGCGGGCUUGCCUGCCGGUUGGACAACUUUAUAACCUUUUUAAAUCUUCAAUCAGUGUCUGAAUAAUAUACAAUAAUUA
Molecule: unclassified non-coding RNA, 139 nt
Filed under: soil metagenome
Description: partial internal transcribed spacer 1
Source: RNAcentral